Long non-coding RNA from Cynoglossus semilaevis (tongue sole), 654 nucleotides. RefSeq lists it as uncharacterized. The transcript is spliced from 5 exons. NCBI's taxonomy places the organism in Eukaryota, Metazoa, Chordata, Actinopteri, Pleuronectiformes, Cynoglossidae. The record is from RefSeq and is a predicted model, not a curated record.
CAUUUUUCAUUCUUUCUGAACCUACUGACAAUCAUUUCUCUGUGUGUGUGUGUGUGUUUUCCAUUUCCUUAGGAAGUGACAGGAAGUAGGCUGAGGAACCGCCCAACCCACAGGUCAUGACCCUUCCAAGAUGGCCGCCCAUGUGCUCCUCUGUAUGAACUCUGCUGGAGUUUAAAUUCAUAGCCCUCGGCUACGGCGGUUUAGACCAGUGGGACGGAUGGAGGUCAGAGGGGUUCAUGGCUGACUGAGGAUCAUCAUCAUCAUCAUCAUCAUCAUCAUCAUUAUAAUGUUCUCCAUCGUCCGAGUCACUACGUCCUGAGAGUCACUGCCUCCAGAGAGUCCAAUAAUUGUCUUUUCCUAUUUUCUGGAUUAAGACUCAAUUCUCCAUUGACUGGGAGCAGCAGCAGCAGCAGCAGCAGCUUCCAGAGAACGCUGUCAUUAGCCCCCUGCUGGUGCCGUGGUGGAAACCGUAGACCACAGCUGCUCCAGUAAUGGCUCCAGUGAAGGACGGAGCUGUGGAUGAAUAUAAAGGAAAAGAAAACCACUAGAGAUUUUAAAUAAUGGACCAAUUGGUCCGCAAUUAGUGCCACGAUCACGAUCCGUCCCAGACGUCCUGUCCUGGGGUCUGAACAAGAUGUUCCCAAGCUGGAAAAG